RNAcentral lists this long non-coding RNA (711 nucleotides) under Mus pahari (shrew mouse). RNAcentral's name for it is "predicted gene 15918 (MGP_PahariEiJ_G0003918.1)". Lineage: Eukaryota; Metazoa; Chordata; Mammalia; Rodentia; Muridae. The record is from RNAcentral.
ACGGCUACCCCCCCCCCCGCUCAACCUAGCCCAGACUGUCCGAGGGGCCCGCGCGCGGCCGCAGCCCCCGCCUCCAGCCCUCCAGCCCCCCAGCCCGCAGUGCUCUUACCUCCACACCUGCCCCAUCUGCAGCAGGUGGAUGACCGACUGCCAGAUCCACACGGAGAGGCGGCACAGACGCUGCGCCCCCGGGGUGGCCGAGCCCCCCGCACCCGAGCCGCCGCGGGCCGCGCCGUGGCCGUAGCCGGCCCCCAUCAUUGGGGGUCCCCGGCUGCUGAGCCCCUCCACGGCGCCGAGCCCGCCGCCCGUGUAGUCCUGCACGAACCAGCGGAAGCUCAGGCUCUGCACCAGCAGCGACGGCACCAGCACGAAGAACAGGGUCAGCCCGAAGCAGCCGUAGUCCCCCUUGCGGUAGUAGUCGAGGGCCAGCCACAGUGGUACCAAAAGGCUCCGUCAUAAUCAGUUCUGCACAAUGACUUCUCCUGAAUCAUACCCUAUGCCAUCUACCCACUGAUGCUAAUCCCAAAGGACGUCAUAUCACAGCACUAGUUAUAGGAAGGAAGGAUCCUGGUACAUUGCAGUAAUGGCACACAUCUAGGACACAUUGUGUAAAUCCCAGUAUGAGGAUGAGCCUCAGCAUGACACCAUUGAUGGGCUUUUGAGCCUAUGGAAGCUUAACUACAAGUGUGCAUCAUCCUUAUCCUUCUAUUU